AGAAUACGGUUUCUGAGAAUUUCCACUCUGAAUUCACAUUCCGUUCAGUGUUAUCGCCACCCUGUGGAUUUCUUGGCUACCUCGCUGGCUUUGAGCACAACCCAGGAAGAAGUUUGAAACCAAGAAAAUGGUGGUUGGGAAGACCAGGAUGCGCAAUGGCAAGAUAUUGGAUGGAGAAAUGGAUUCAGAUGGAGGCAUCAUUGAGCUUAUUCUUGACUCAUCUCAGUCCAAACAUUACUCUGUCAAUCGUUGUUCUUAAAAUCUGCAUAUUAAAAGCUCAGCAUCAACUA
This 290-nucleotide long non-coding RNA is filed under the name Homo sapiens (human). RNAcentral describes it as "HSALNT0366758". The record is from RNAcentral. Lineage: Eukaryota; Metazoa; Chordata; Mammalia; Primates; Hominidae.